CUCUGAACAAGGGGCCUCUGCUACAGCGGAGGGCACUGGGAAGACCCAACCCAGUACAGGGGAAAUGUAGCUUUCAACCCACUGUCUUGAUAAGCAAAGGCCAGCAAAGCUGUCCCUUGAUAUUUUUUGAUCCUGGGGUCUGAGUGAAGAGCGUCUGGGUGAAGAAGGUCUGUAAUACCCCUGCAGCCUUACCUUGCUUCUCUCUCGGCCUCUCACAAACCUGUCCAGUCAACUCCCAGGAUGGAGCCUGACUGUCUUCCAUCUCUAGCUUCCCUUGGCCACCCCCUCCCAGGAAAAGUGCUGUAAAAAGAAAAAAAAGGGGGGGGAUGUUAGAGAGAAAGGGGAAAUAAAGUCUUUGGAAAGCAGAGUUUUACAACAGCCACAGGUUUUAUGGAAGCAAUUCCGUAAUAACCUUCUACCUGCUCGCCUCCUUUCCGCCCCGCCUGCCACCCACCCCGUUUGGCCUUCUGGAUACCCCCUCCCCAAGAAGUCAACCACCCCCACUGCCUUGGAUAUCCUUGAUGGCUGAGAGUUCCUAAGAAGAUUCCGGAGGUCGCAUGGGGCCACUGACCUCUCCAUCCUUCCUUUCACCUCUAACAUCUUAGGAGGGAGGUUUGGCAGAAGAUUUCGUUACUUUACAAUUAAGAUUCCCACUUGGGGGAUAUGGAAACAUUGAGGUUUGACCCAGAGUGUGCAGUUUCGAUGUGAUAUCUAUUUUGGAGGCCAUUUGGAUAAAGGGACAGGCUUGGGGAUCCUGUUUCCACUGGAGAUCUAAGGGUCCUCACACUUCACUCUUUCCCAGAGUGGGUCUCUGAUCCUGGAUCAGAAGAAAUACCUCCAGUGCUUGAGAACAUAGAUUGGGGAUUUUUCUAAUUUUGUUGUACACAGCAAUGCUUCUGCAUGACCUCUACAGUUACCUGAGGACUUUCCCACUCAGCUCAUUUCUGUCUACCUUUGCUUCACACUUGUGGUGGUUAUAUGUAUGCAUAUGUAACCAUGUUACAGAGGAGUAACGGUGCCUUUACUCCUAUGCCCAUCACUACCAUGAAAUAAGCAUCACACAAUGCACACUGUUCUUGCAAUUUGGGGUAAGAUACGCAGUAAAGGAUUUCAUGGUCAGACAAAAAGUCACCAAAUUUCAUGACCUUUCCUGGGUCAAUUUGAAGCAUUUCCUUCAUCUUUUAGACAAAUAUUCUGGAAGGAAAUUGUAAUAGAAUCCAGCUUUAAGGUACAUGCAUUUGUUUGAAGAUAUGGCAUAUAUUUUUCUUGAAUAUCAAUUCAGGGCACAUUUUCAAGUGAGACUUCUAAAUCAGCUAAUAUUUUAUAGCCACAUUUCAAAUACACAAAUCCCCAGGUUUUUGCUCUCUCCAUGAGAGUGUUGAUGUUUAUAGAAAAUGUACACACAAGCUUUUGGUUCACUGAUCAUCUUAUAUGAGCAGAAUCAUUAGCCCACAUCUUUCACAAAGGUUAUGCAGGUAUCCACAUAUCCACAUAUGUAAUUAGAUCUUAUACAUGAACGCCCAGGCACAUCCAGUAUUGUAGCUGGGUAUACUUAUUUAUUAUAUAUUUACACAGUAUAGAGCACAUAACAUUUGAGUACUAGUUUCCCAUACAUAAAUAUUUAUUUGAAAUAAACAUACAGGGUGCACGUAUCUAUUCAAAUACAAUAUGCGUCAGUUUCAG
RNAcentral lists this long non-coding RNA (1683 nucleotides) under Marmota monax (woodchuck). The record is from RNAcentral. Lineage: Eukaryota; Metazoa; Chordata; Mammalia; Rodentia; Sciuridae.